UUCUUUCCUCCCUUUCUGCCUUCUUUCCACAGAUAGUUAUUGAGCACCUACUAUGUGCCAGCCUCUGUACUAGGCACUGGGAGACACAAUGGUGAAUGGAACAGGCAGAGAACUCUGUCCUUGAGGAGCUCAUGUUCUAAAGAGGAUGCUGGGACUUCCCUGGCGGUCCAGUGGUUAAGACUCCGCACUUCCAAGGCAGGGGGCGCGGUUUCGAUCCCUGGUUGAGGAACUAAAAUCCCACGUGCUGCGCGGUGUGGCCAAAAAAAAAGGAAAAAAAAUUUAAAAUAUAUAGAGGAUGCUAGUCACCAACGCAGUCAUCCUGCAAACAAAGUGCAGAACUGCAGCUGGAGAAGGUGCAGGGGGCUGAGGCUCUGGGUGCCAUGGGCACCUGUAGCAAGUGGCUGGACCUCUGGGGGGGUGGGAGUGUCUCCUGGUGGAGGUGUGACCCUGCAGUGGCUCACUGGGCAACGCAAAGUUUGCAUCUCCUCAGGAGGCUCAGCGAGGACAGCCGCGGGAGUGAGUGGGACACACGUUAUACAAGGGGAAACCCUGGGGCGCUGACCCUGCCCUCCCAUCCCGGAAGGGUCUCUGAGGAAGUGACGCCCUGAACACAGAGCCGGAUCCGUGGCGACCGCGAAGAAUCUUCCCUUCCCGGCAGAGGCACCAGCCAUGCAAAGGCAGGAAGGCUGCCACACCCCUAGGAAGCUGGAGGCUUUGCACGGGAUGCCCCCCUCUGGCCUGGCUUUCUCCUUUUGUGGAAAGGGAACAGUCGCCCGCCCACCCCCACAAGCGGGGAUGCUGUUCCUGGUGGUGGGUCAGGCCUCUGUGGACCCCCUCGAGUCCUGGAAGAUGAUCGUGUCUGCGGGCUUGGGGAGACAGAGAAGAGAAUGUAGACUGAACAGCUCUCCAACUCCAGACUUUGAGGCAGGAUCCUGAGGUACUUAGAAGGAAAUGACAAGCAGCCUCAUUUACAAUUGAAGGAAACUGAGGUACAACAACAAAAUAAUAAAAUCUAAUGCUUACUGAGCUCUUACUCCAAGCCAGGCACAGUGCUAAGCCCUUUGACCCAAGUUCUUUCAUUUAAUCCCCCCAACGAUCAUCACUGUCGGAAGCUAAUACCGUGACCCCUAUUUUACAAGUGUGGGAAUGAAGACUCGGGAGGUAAGUCAAGACCAUGCCUCCUGUUAAUGGGGGAUCUGGGAUGAGCAUGCAGAUCUGGC
This 1220-nucleotide long non-coding RNA is filed under the name Phocoena sinus (vaquita). RNAcentral's name for it is "lncRNA (ENSPSNG00000021299.1)". Lineage: Eukaryota; Metazoa; Chordata; Mammalia; Artiodactyla; Phocoenidae. The record is from RNAcentral.